RNAcentral lists this ribosomal RNA (253 nucleotides) under uncultured bacterium. RNAcentral describes it as "partial 16S ribosomal RNA". It matches the Rfam family "Bacterial small subunit ribosomal RNA", at positions 524 to 776 of the family's 1533-position model. The record is from RNAcentral.
UACGUAGAGGGCGAGCGUUGUUCGGAAUCACUGGGCGUAAAGCGUAUGUAGGCGGUGCGACAAGUUGGAUGUGAAAGCCGUGGGCUCAACCCGUGAACAGCAUCCAAAACUGUAGCUCUGGAGUAUGGUAGGGAAGUGUGGAAUUCCUGGUGUAGCAGUAAAAUGCGUAGAUAUCAGGAGGAACACCGGAGGCGAAGGCGGCACUUUGGGCCAAUACUGACGCUGAGAUACGAAAGCGUGGGGAGCAAACAGG